UACGUAGGGUGCAAGCGUUGUCCGGAAUCAUUGGGCGUAAAGAGCGUGUAGGCGGCCUGGUAAGUCCGCUGUGAAAGUCCAGGGCUCAACCCUGGAAUGCCGGUGGAAACUGUCAGGCUCGAGUCCGGAAGAGGCGAGUGGAAUUCCUGGUGUAGCGGUGAAAUGCGCAGAUAUCAGGAGGAACACCAAUGGCGAAGGCAGCUCGCUGGGACGGUACUGACGCUAAGACGCGAAAGCGUGGGGAGCAAACAGG
This 253-nucleotide ribosomal RNA is filed under the name uncultured bacterium. Its description in RNAcentral is "partial 16S ribosomal RNA". It matches the Rfam family "Bacterial small subunit ribosomal RNA", at positions 524 to 776 of the family's 1533-position model. The record is from RNAcentral.